UGAGAUUAUGAUGACGUAAUAUGGUUGCUGUUUGGUCGUUCCUCGUGGUUUUUCGCGGAAACUUAAAAUUGGGAAAAUAAAGUAAAACAAUUAAAUAAUCCUAAUAACAAUUUAAAUAUUAAAUACUGAAAAAUAGAUAACAAUUUGUGCAAAUAAAUAAAACAAAUAAAUAAAAUGAGCAGAAAUAUGCUAAAAAUUAAGCAUUGAAGAAAAUAAGAAUAUAGAAAAAGGAAGUCAAAAAUGAAUGCAAGAGUACGAAAAAAUUUAUUUCAUCCUGCUUCAAAGAUAAUAAUAGCAACUGUACUUUGUGGAUUGUUAUAUAAAUUUGUUUUGAGUGAUAGUUUGAAAAGACGGCGCUUCCAUAAGUUUGAAAAUGAAGCUAAUAUAUUAAUUAACCUUGAAGAAAAAAGAACAGAAAAUUGAAAGUUUUGAUAGAUAUUCUAUGAUAAUUUUCUUUAUUUUCCCAAAAUAAAUCUUAAUUUUAGAAAUACUUUUAGA
Centruroides sculpturatus (bark scorpion) is the source of this 498-nucleotide long non-coding RNA. RefSeq lists it as uncharacterized. The record is from RefSeq and is a predicted model, not a curated record. Lineage: Eukaryota; Metazoa; Arthropoda; Arachnida; Scorpiones; Buthidae. The transcript is spliced from 3 exons.